RNAcentral lists this unclassified non-coding RNA (200 nucleotides) under Helotiales sp. RNAcentral describes it as "partial internal transcribed spacer 2". Lineage: Eukaryota; Fungi; Ascomycota; Leotiomycetes; Helotiales. The record is from RNAcentral.
UUAAGUUCAGCGGGUAUCCCUACCUGAUCCGAGGUCAACCAUAGAAAAAUUGGGGGUUUUGGCAAGUCUCCACCGGGACCCUAUAGCGAGAGAAAUUACUACGCUUAGAGCCAGAUGGCACCGCCACUGAUUUUAAGGGCUGCCGGUGGGCAGGCCCCAACACCAAGCUGAGCUUGAGGGUUUAAAUGACGCUCGAACAG